AAAGUGGCAGAAUGAGGGAAUAUUGAAGAGGACUACAGAGCAGCAAAGACAUGAACCAUUACCCCAAAAUGAGAAAGGAGGACAGAGAAAAAUACCAUUACAAAUAAAAAAUAAACAGAUUGUGUGGCAUUAUUCUUUUUUUUUUUUUU
Molecule: long non-coding RNA, 149 nt
Filed under: Ursus americanus (American black bear)
Lineage: Eukaryota; Metazoa; Chordata; Mammalia; Carnivora; Ursidae
Description: TTC28 antisense RNA 1 conserved region 2 (ENSUAMG00000012269.1)
Rfam family: TTC28 antisense RNA 1 conserved region 2
Source: RNAcentral